CGCCACCGGUUCACAAUUCUCCACCACCACCCCCGGUUUACCUGCCCCCGCCACCUCCUCCACCAGUCUACGUGCCUGCUCCGGCACCAACUCCAAUUUUCCCUUCUCCGCCACCUCCUGUCCCCAAGUCCCCACCACCACCUCACCCUUACGUCUAUGCAUCUCCCCCUCCUCCUUACUACUACUAGAAAGCGGCCAUGAAUAGCUCAUGCUUUUAUGGUAAUCUCAUUUAUUUUUAAAACUGUACAUGUAAAGACUAGUAGUUCAGAAUUACAUUAAGCAUUUCAAUUUUAAGUACCGUGUUCUGUUUAAUUGCGUUCCUAUUGAUUAAGUGACAAAUAAAAGAGAUUGAUUAAUUUGUUCUUGUAGGAGAGGCGAAUGGUAUCCGAAUAAAGAAAGCAAGGGUUUGAUGGAAGGCUUACUUGGAGCAAGAUAGCGAUCAAUCGAGUUGCUGCGUUUUAUUCUCUUUUAUCUUUGUUUUUUAAGAAAAAUAAACUGCCACACGUAGAAACAGAAAAUUAAGUUCUUGUCAUUUUCAUGCAUAUGGAUUGUUGCUGUGUGUGUCAAUCAAAUCUCCGUUGUGUCAUUUGUAAUUGUCAACCUUUAUGCAUGCAAAUGCGAGACCUCUUACGUAUAAUAAAAUUAAUAUACUUCCCAAGAUGGUCUUAUCUUGCGUUGACUUUUUACGUUCCUUUUUUGUAUUAUCUAUUAAAAACCCCUCUUUUAAAGUUGUUUGAUUAGAGCAUCAUCUAGCCUUGCUUAACGCAGUAUUAAAAAUCCUUUUGAGUUUAAUCACACUUCGAUUAGAGCGUAACUUAAUCGCAUUGACUUGGUCCAGUACUUGAACGAUAUCUAGUGUUUUGCUUCCGCUAUGCCCAAGGAGAAAAUUAAUUUCACCGUGAGAUAAGAGCAUUAAAAGGAAUUCAUAAGAAAUUUAAAUUAAAGCUAUGUUAAAUAUAUCGCUAGCUACUUGUUUUUGGAGGAAUUAAAACAAUUAAUAAGCUGCGAAGUGAAAAUGAAUAAAUAAAUGAAAUGAGGUUGAAAAUAAGUCUCGCCGCCUGGAUCCAAGGCCAAAACAUUCAUGAUAAGUUAGGUAAUUAAGUACAUGUUUUCAAGCUCUUCAUGAAGAAUAACGUUAUUGAAAUAAAUCACAAAGACUCCCUGCGCAAAUUAUUACAUUGAUUAAAAAAAAAAAUGCCAUAUCUUUAACAGGAUCGUGGCUCUCGGACUGUUAAUUACUUUAUUCCCUGCUUGGCCAACAGCUGGUCACUAAACAAAAUCAUAAAAAUUUUAUAUUUAGUCAAAUUGGUCCCACUUGAUGACAUCCUUUUCAUACAUAAAAUUGUUUAACGUCAAGGUUAAAUAUGAGAAGUUUGGUAGAGAAGGUAAAAAGGAAGUCUAUAUAAGGAGGGGAACGAGCUUUGUUUAUAGCACAAGUGAAACUCCACUUUAUUGAACGAUGGGGUCUCAAAUGGGCUGCCUCUUUGCCACUCUUUUGGUAGUAUCAGUCUCUCUUAGCUACUUGCCGUUAGAAGCCUCCGCAAACAAAUACUACUACACAUCUCCUCCCCCUCCCAAGUACAAGUCUCCACCACCACCCCCGCCACCGGUUCACAAUUCUCCACCACCACCCCCGGUUUACCUGCCCCCGCCACCUCCUCCACCAGUCUACGUGCCUGCUCCGGCACCAACUCCAAUUUUCCCUUCUCCGCCACCUCCUGUCCCCAAGUCCCCACCACCACCUCACCCUUACGUCUAUGCAUCUCCCCCUCCUCCUUACUACUACUAGAAAGCGGCCAUGAAUAGC
Molecule: long non-coding RNA, 1807 nt
Filed under: Citrus sinensis (sweet orange)
Lineage: Eukaryota; Viridiplantae; Streptophyta; Magnoliopsida; Sapindales; Rutaceae
Description: long non-coding RNA (CSIN_LNC002075)
Source: RNAcentral